UCAGGGUUGGCAGUAGGGUUAGAAGUAGGGUUAGGGUCAUGGUAAGAGUAGGGUUAGGUUUAGGAGUAUCGUUAGGAGUAGGGUUAGGGGUAGGUUAGGGUCAGGGGUAGAGGUACCCUAACCCUACUCCUAACCCUACCCUAACCCUACUCCUAACCCUAACCUAACCCUACUCCUAACCCAACCCUAACCCUACUCCUUACCAUACCCUAACCCAACCCUAACCCUACUCCUAACCCCUUUCCUAACCCAGCCCU
Molecule: non-coding RNA, 257 nt
Organism: Pelobates cultripes (western spadefoot toad)
Lineage: Eukaryota; Metazoa; Chordata; Amphibia; Anura; Pelobatidae
Source: the annotation of a GenBank genome assembly